UACGGGGGGAGCAAGCGUUGUUCGGAUUUACUGGGCGUAAAGGGCGCGUAGGCGGCACCGCAAGUCGACUGUGAAAUCUCCGGGCUUAACUCGGAAAGGUCAGCCGAUACUGCGGGGCUAGAGUGCAGAAGGGGCAACUGGAAUUCUCGGUGUAGCGGUGAAAUGCGUAGAUAUCGAGAGGAACACCUGCGGCGAAGGCGGGUUGCUGGGCUGACACUGACGCUGAUGCGCGAAAGCGUGGGGAGCAAACGGG
Molecule: ribosomal RNA, 253 nt
Filed under: uncultured bacterium
Lineage: Bacteria
Description: partial 16S ribosomal RNA
Rfam family: Bacterial small subunit ribosomal RNA
Source: RNAcentral